Molecule: ribosomal RNA, 514 nt
Filed under: uncultured Glomus
Lineage: Eukaryota; Fungi; Glomeromycota; Glomeromycetes; Glomerales; Glomeraceae
Description: SSU rRNA
Rfam family: Eukaryotic small subunit ribosomal RNA
Source: RNAcentral
UAUUCCGCUCCAUAGCGUAUAUUAAAGUUGUUGCANUUAAAAGCUCGUAGUUGAAUUUCGGGGUCAGUAGGUUGGUCAUGCCACUGGUAUGUACUGGUCUCACUGAUUCCUCCUUCCUGAUGAGCCGUAAUGCCAUUAAUUUGGUGUUGCGAGGAAUCUGGACUGUUACUUUGAAAAAAUUAGAGUGUUUAAAGCAGGCUAACGUUUGAAUACAUUAGCAUGGAAUAAUGAAAUAGGACGUUCGAUCUUAUUUUGUUGGUUUCUAAGAUUGACGUAAUGAUUAAUAGGGAUAGUUGGGGGCAUUAGUAUUCAAUUGUCAGAGGUGAAAUUCUUGGAUUUAUUGAAGACUAAUUACUGCGAAAGCAUUUGCCAAGGAUGUUUUCAUUAAUCAAGAACGAAAGUUAGGGGAUCGAAGACGAUCAGAUACCGUCGUAGUCUUAACCAUAAACUAUGCCGACUAGGGAUCGGAUGAUGUUAAUUUUUUAAUGACUCAUUCGGCACCUUACGGGAAACA